RNAcentral lists this ribosomal RNA (519 nucleotides) under uncultured eukaryote. Its description in RNAcentral is "SSU rRNA". It matches the Rfam family "Eukaryotic small subunit ribosomal RNA", at positions 1161 to 1704 of the family's 1831-position model. The record is from RNAcentral.
AGGGCACCACCAGGAGUGGAGCCUGCGGCCUAAUUUGACUCAACACGGGAAAACUCACCCGGCCCGGACACCGUAAGGAUUGACAGAUUGAGAGCUCUUUCUUGAUUCGGUGGUUGGUGGUGCAUGGCCGUUCUUAGUUGGUGGAGCGAUUUGUCUGGUUUAUUCCGAUAACGAACGAGACUCUGGCCUACUAAAUAGAGACAGGAUUAUUACUGUCUUGGAUUCUUCUUAGAGGGACAAGUGGUUUUCAGCCACACGAAAUUGGGCAAUAACAGGUCUGUGAUGCCCUUAGAUGUCCGGGGCUGCACGCGCGCUACACUGAAGGAAUCAGCGUGCUAAAACCAUUGUCGAAAGGCAUUGGUAAACCCAUUAAAAUCCUACGUGAUUGGGAUCGGGAAUUGCAAUUAUUUCCCUUGAACGAGGAAUUCCCAGUAAGUGUGGGUCAUAAGCUCGCGUUGAUUACGUCCCUGCCCUUUGUACACACCGCCCGUCGCUGCCCGGGACUGAGCCGUUUCGAGA